UAGUGUUUAAAAUAUGAUUUUAUGUUUUUAAUGAGAUUAAAGAAAGAGAAACUUGAGUAGUCAAGUAUUGGACCCAAAUGUCAUAUAAUUUUAAUUGGGGAUUUUUAUAAAAUUAAGAAAGUUUGGCUAAAGGGCUUAUUUGAAAAGAAUUUUAGUAUUUUGGGUCCAAGUGUAAUUUUUAAAAAUAAAUAAAUAAAUAAAUAAAAUAAAAUAAAAUAAAAGGCUUCAGCCUUUCAUUUUACCCGAGCCCCUCUCUCUCUCUCCUCAGAAACUCUCUCUCUCUCCUCAGAAACUCUCUCUCUCUCUCUCUCUCUCUCUCUCUCUCCUCUGCGUAUUACUGUUGCCGACGACGCAGGAGUACUUUCCGGCCACCAUUUUUAGCCACGCGCCGGACCGUUGGAUUCAGAGGCCUCCGAACUAUCGACCCACGCGGGAAUCUAGAGCUCACUCGCCGAUUAAACGCCUCAACCACUCGAUUUAAGUUCGGCCACCCCGCGACUUCAAAGUUGCGAUUCGGCCACCUCGGGCAUCCGUUUGCCGAUCCGUCACCACCAUCGUGCUCCUCGUGUUGUGGGCUUCAAAACCCAAUAACUUGUUCCUACAUCUACCAUAGUUGGGUGGUGGGCCCACCACGAGCCACCGCGAUCCACCGUAGACCGACGGUCGAAACUUAGUGUUCGAGGUUCCGAAGUACGUUUUGAGUCUCAUAAAAUCAUCGUUUGACUUAUUGUGGAACCCGAUCAUUUUGGAUUUGUAUGGAUUUGAUUGAUUGACUCUUGGUGAGGAAUUUUAAAAUAAGCUAAGGACCUAAGGUGUGGCUUUAGCUGUUGAGCAACUUGUGGAGCACGGACUCAGUAGCAAUGCAAUAAUGGUUUAGAGUUUUCAUAUGGCUGCCUUAAAUUUAAAAGUAUUCAUACGUGUAAUAAUUUCUUCUAAUAAGUUUAUAUAAAAGUUUUAAAUUUUUCUGUA
Molecule: long non-coding RNA, 969 nt
Organism: Humulus lupulus (European hop)
Lineage: Eukaryota; Viridiplantae; Streptophyta; Magnoliopsida; Rosales; Cannabaceae
Exons: 3
Source: RefSeq, a predicted model, not a curated record